CAAUAGCGUAUAUUAAAGUUGUUGCGGUUAAAAAGCUCGUAGUUGGAUUUCUGCUGAGAACGACCGGUCCGCCCUCUGGGUGUGUAUCUGGCUCUUUCUUGGCAUCUUCUUGGUGAACGUUGCUGCACUUGACUGUGUGGAGCGCUACCCAGGACUUUUACUUUGAGGAAAUUAGAGUGUUUCAAGCAGGCAUACGCCUUGAAUACAUUAGCAUGGAAUAAUAAGAUAGGACCUCGGUUCUAUUUUGUUGGUUUCUAGAGCUGAGGUAAUGAUUAAUAGGGAUAGUUGGGGGCAUUCGUAUUUAACUGUCAGAGGCGAAAUUCUUGGAUUUGUUAAAGACGGACUACUGCGAAAGCAUUUGCCAAGGAUGUUUNCAUUGA
Molecule: ribosomal RNA, 380 nt
Filed under: uncultured eukaryote
Lineage: Eukaryota
Description: partial 18S ribosomal RNA
Rfam family: Eukaryotic small subunit ribosomal RNA
Source: RNAcentral